This 253-nucleotide ribosomal RNA is filed under the name uncultured bacterium. RNAcentral describes it as "partial 16S ribosomal RNA". It matches the Rfam family "Bacterial small subunit ribosomal RNA", at positions 524 to 777 of the family's 1533-position model. The record is from RNAcentral.
UACAUGUGGGGCAAGCGUUGUUCGGAAUUACUGGGCAUAAAGGGUGCGUAGGUGGCUUGUUAAGUCAGGGGUGAAAGUUUUCGGCCCAACCGGAAAAUGGCCUUGAUACUGGCGAGCUCGAGUGCGUGAGGGGUAACCGGAACGAGCAGUGUAGCGGUGAAAUGCGUAGAUAUUGCUCGGAAGGCCAACGGCGAAGGCAGGUUACUGGUGCGCAACUGACACUGAGGCACGAAAGCGUGGGGAGCAAACAGGG